GCUUUGGGGGUCUCAUCGCAAAGAAAACGUGGGAAGAGGAGGUGCGCUUGUGAAUCACAGCAACCGCAGCAGCGGAAACGCGAGAGCAGAGCCGAGUUGGCGCGACGGAACUCCGGCGCCAACACCGAAAACCAAACGACAGAGGGUCUUUUGCUCUUCUGCUCGCUGUAUUUUCACAGUACUUUAUGUCGCAGCUCAGCGCUAGUCCGCGCGAGGAGCCCGUGGGCAUCCCGGAGCUCUUCGUGCAGUAUCUCAAGGCGAAGGAUUUCAGAGAGCAGCUGGCCAUCGUUCAUGCCCAUCCUGCGCUAUUCACAGAUGACGUCGUAGCCGCCCUGAAGGAUGCUCGUGCGCAGAUAAACGAGACGUUCGUGGAGGUGAAGGAGGCCUUCCGAAUCAUCGAUGCGGUCUCUGGCAGCCUCCAAUACACGGGAACAAGCGUGCAGCUUCAGCAGAGCGAGGUAAAGGAGGUGCUGAGCGAAGAAGCUAUUCUCAAAAACUUUGCCGCCUCUUUAGCGGGUCUCUUGAGGGCAGGGGAAACGGCUGGGCCAGCGGCGCCAUCCACAAUCUCUUCUCUUUCGACCGCCUGUCGUGUCUCAAGCAGUCUGGGUGCGGGCCAGUCACAGUCGCCGGGGGCGUGGUUCACGCAACCGUCUCUUGUUUUCUCUGUUCUGGCGUUCCUGCCGGCAGAGGAGAUCUUUAUGGCAGCAGAAAACGUCUGUCGAGCGUGGCAGACGUGGCUCUUCCUGCCAGACAUGUCCCGAUUUUUCUGGGUCGGCUGCGUGCAGCGCGAAUUCCCAGAGCAGCUGCAGGUGGCGCUGCAGACCGCCGGCGACGAUCUCUACGAGAGCGACUGGCGGUCGCUUGCCAUGCUGUGCGUGACGGAGGCCGAGCAGGCGGCAGAAGCGGAAGAGGCAGAGGAGGUGGGGACGGAGGGGCUUUUGAGGGGUGUUGUGCCGUUUCUUUGACGACAGGUGCGCUUGCUUGCUAACGCUGGAGAUGGCGCUGCUUGAUCGUCCGUCUCACCUCUCAUCUUCUCCCGCACAACCCCACCACGCUCUCGGGAGCAAGAGAAGCGCCCCACACGCACGUGCAAGAAUCACCAAGGCCCGAUGGUGCGGGUCUUGCCAUGCAGAAGCUGUGGCUCGGCCACGUGACUCUCAUGCAAGACAAAGCCCAAGAAAGAGUUCGCGCUGCCCUACCAGCACUCCAAUCAGAGGUGAGGCAUGCAACGGUUCAACGCCGCUUCGACAUUGCUGAAGGUGCGACUUUGACAGGGGCAUGCGCUCAUCGCCUCUACGCCUUGCCCAUCUACACAUCCUUCUCCUUAGCGUUCUCUUGCGCGUCUGGUGUGCCAUCGUCUUGCUUUUUUUUUGCGCGUUGCACUUUCUGGAGGAGAAAGAGGAAGGGGGAGGGGCUCUCUCCUGCUUCGCUUUCGCCUCUUUGAGCUCUGCGUGGCGCACACCGAACCGGGAGUACUGUUGUCCUUUUCAUGGCUUCUCCCUUGGUUGACAGCGUUCAGGAGCACACGUCCAGCAGGCAUGCACGCGUAUACCGAGAGAGACGCAGUAACGGUGCGCCGCCGUGUUUUUUGUUGUUUUGUUUCCUCUCUGUUCUCCGUCCCCUCACGUUGUUCGCUCUCUAGUGUGUCGCCGUGACACGCUCCAUGGUCGUGGCGGCCAAUAUAUUCUCCCCUCCCCUAAAAAAGAAAAAAGGGCGUUCAACAAAGUUCUAAUCUUCGCCCCGUGUGCGCGUGUGCUUGUACGUUUGUGGCUGCUCCUAGGUAAAGACCCUCUUGCCGUUCCUACCUCUGCUCGGCGCGUCAUUACACACCCACCUAACCAUCGAUCACCCCAAUCACCCUCUCCUCUCUCCCUUUUUCCUUGCUUCAUCGCCUCUUUCUUUUUCGGCGCAG
RNAcentral lists this unclassified non-coding RNA (1912 nucleotides) under Leishmania donovani. RNAcentral describes it as "gene:LdHU3.34.5900(CDS-product:hypothetical_prote in_conserved)". The record is from RNAcentral. Lineage: Eukaryota; Euglenozoa; Kinetoplastea; Trypanosomatida; Trypanosomatidae.